CAGGAUGUAAUCAACCUCCGAUCUGCUGAGAAACACUGCAAAAAUGAUUUCCCCUGCCAAAAAUAAUAAUGUCGUUUACAAGCAGCUCUUCCAUGUCUGAGGAAGAACUAGCCCCACGUGUGAGUUUAUGCAGGCUUCAGAGGAGCUAGCAAGGAAAAGGGCAAAUCCUGCCAAUCCCAUGCUAAAAUACCCCGUAUCAGAACCUGAGGGAAGCUGUGGCCCAUUCCAAAGGUGCUGGCAACAUCCAGGAAGAUUCAUAUCCACAAAAAUCCAAACGUCUUUUCAUCCUGCAUGUGAAAUUUCAACCAUGAUGGAUGGAGAGUCUCUGGUCCAAAAUCUCACCAAGUUUCUUAUCCACAGAUACAGGCCUAGAGGGAGCCAAUAACCACAUGGAAUACAAACAGGAAUGAAAUAAAGUUCUUGACCUCAAUGAGAUUGAAAUUCACUUACUUCUUCACCCAGUCCUUCCCAACCAGCAUUCUCAUUAGACAACCUCAGAAAAAGAAAAAAGAAGAAGAAGAAAAAAAAAAAAAAAACCCACUUAUUUUAGAACCUUGGGAGUCAAGCUGGAGCCUGGGCAGCCUUUCCACUUGUUGGAACUCCUUUGUCGAUGCUCAGAUGUACAACGCUCUUUUUCAUCUGGUUGCUUUUAUAAUGCAAAGGGCAGAGGCAAAUUAUUUGGAGUACAAUCAGUGGGUCCAGGGUAUUGAAACACUCCUCUUCAUGACAAUGCCAAGUUACUUUAUUUGUUCAUGAAGCACUUGAAAAAUGAGAAAGAGCCUUCAAGAGAGAGCAGAGAACAAGUUGGCUCCCAAUGCUUUCAUUACCAAAAGAGGGUGUUAAAAUGCAUAGAAAUGUUAAAUCUCUCCUAAAAAAAAAAAAAAAAAAAUCAAUGAAUGACACAUUCAGUUAGAGCUCACUCAACCCUGAUUUCACAAUCACAGGAGAUCUUAACAGGGAAAUGGUUCGGAAGUAUAAAAAGUAUUUUAAUUUCA
Long non-coding RNA from Lontra canadensis (Northern American river otter), 995 nucleotides. RefSeq lists it as uncharacterized. NCBI's taxonomy places the organism in Eukaryota, Metazoa, Chordata, Mammalia, Carnivora, Mustelidae. The record is from RefSeq and is a predicted model, not a curated record. The transcript is spliced from 3 exons.